CUCUGGGUGGUACAAAACAGUUAAUGCGCUUGGCUGCUAACCAAAGAGCUGGUGGUUCAAGUCCACCCAGAGA
RNAcentral lists this transfer RNA (73 nucleotides) under Loxodonta africana (African savanna elephant). It matches the Rfam family "tRNA". Rfam says of the family: Transfer RNA (tRNA) molecules are approximately 80 nucleotides in length. Their secondary structure includes four short double-helical elements and three loops (D, anti-codon, and T loops). The record is from Rfam by way of RNAcentral. Lineage: Eukaryota; Metazoa; Chordata; Mammalia; Proboscidea; Elephantidae.